UCCCUUGUGGCUCAGAUGGUAAAGCAUCUGCCUACAAUGCAGGAGACUCUGGUUCGAUCCCUGGGUUGGGAA
Molecule: transfer RNA, 72 nt
Filed under: Bos taurus (domestic cattle)
Lineage: Eukaryota; Metazoa; Chordata; Mammalia; Artiodactyla; Bovidae
Also listed under: 3 other names
Rfam family: tRNA
About the family: Transfer RNA (tRNA) molecules are approximately 80 nucleotides in length. Their secondary structure includes four short double-helical elements and three loops (D, anti-codon, and T loops).
Source: Rfam by way of RNAcentral